Cebus imitator (Panamanian white-faced capuchin) is the source of this 140-nucleotide small nuclear RNA. Its record names the gene U4. It matches the Rfam family "U4 spliceosomal RNA". From Rfam's summary of the family: U4 small nuclear RNA (U4 snRNA) is a component of the major U2-dependent spliceosome. The structure of U4 snRNA from yeast and human has been reported. The record is from Ensembl. NCBI's taxonomy places the organism in Eukaryota, Metazoa, Chordata, Mammalia, Primates, Cebidae.
AGCUUUGUGCAGUGGCAGUAUCAUAGUCAAUGAGGUUUAUCCGAGGCGCGAUUAAUGGAAUUUAAAACUUUUCCCAGUACCCCACAAGGAUGACGUGAAAUAUAGCCAGCACUGGCAAUUUUUGGCAGUCUCUACGGGGA